This 77-nucleotide transfer RNA is filed under the name Acidithiobacillus thiooxidans. RNAcentral describes it as "tRNA-Asp". It matches the Rfam family "tRNA". Rfam says of the family: Transfer RNA (tRNA) molecules are approximately 80 nucleotides in length. Their secondary structure includes four short double-helical elements and three loops (D, anti-codon, and T loops). Lineage: Bacteria; Pseudomonadati; Pseudomonadota; Acidithiobacillia; Acidithiobacillales; Acidithiobacillaceae. The record is from RNAcentral. RNAcentral also lists the same sequence under 1 other name.
GGUCCAUGCGCUCAGUUGGUCAGAGCGCCAGCCUGUCACGCGGGAGGUCGCCGGUUCAAGUCCGGCGUGGAUCGCCA